GUGUUGUAGCCAAAUUUGCUGCGUGCGUGUAUAGCCGUGUAUGUGUGCGUGUGUGUGUGUUGUGUGUGUGCAUACCCCACGCACUAACACACAUUUUAUCAAGAAUCCCAGGAAAGUAAACUUUAAAGGAUGGAGACUACGCAUUUCUUUGCACACACACUAAAUCUAUUUAUUUUCUUUGUUUGUUUCAAAACUGAAAUAUUUCUGUGUGUGCUAAUGUUGUGAUAAAAAAAAUUUAAGUAUAAGAACUGUUGGUUAGUGAAGCUUAAAUCUCCACUUGAGGUUUGUGUCUGUUCUCGCUCAAUAGUCUGACAUCAGCAUGUUAAUGAUUUUCGUACCUAAAAAA
Etheostoma spectabile (orangethroat darter) is the source of this 346-nucleotide long non-coding RNA. RefSeq lists it as uncharacterized. The transcript is spliced from 2 exons. The record is from RefSeq and is a predicted model, not a curated record. NCBI's taxonomy places the organism in Eukaryota, Metazoa, Chordata, Actinopteri, Perciformes, Percidae.